GAUGAACGCUGGCGGCGUGCCUAAUACAUGCAAGUCGAGCGAACGGACGAGAAGCUUGCUUCUCUGAUGUUAGCGGCGGACGGGUGAGUAACACGUGGAUAACCUACCUAUAAGACUGGGAUAACUUCGGGAAACCGGAGCUAAUACCGGACAAUAUUUUGAACCGCAUGGUUCAAAAGUGAAAGACGGUCUUGCUGUCACUUAUAGAUGGAUCCGCGCUGCAUUAGCUAGUUGGUAAGGUAACGGCUUACCAAGGCAACGAUGCAUAGCCGACCUGAGAGGGUGAUCGGCCACACUAGAACUGAGACACGGUCCAGACUCCUACGGGAGGCAGCAGUAGGGAAUCUUCCGCAAUGGGCGAAAGCCUGACGGAGCAACGCCGCGUGAGUGAUGAAGGUCUUCGGAUCGUAAAACUCUGUUAUUAGGGAAGAACAUAUGUGUAAGUAACUGUGCACAUCUUGACGGUACCUAAUCAGAAAGCCACGGCUAACUACGUG
This 497-nucleotide ribosomal RNA is filed under the name uncultured bacterium. RNAcentral's name for it is "partial 16S ribosomal RNA". It matches the Rfam family "Bacterial small subunit ribosomal RNA", at positions 28 to 507 of the family's 1533-position model. The record is from RNAcentral.